RNAcentral lists this ribosomal RNA (429 nucleotides) under uncultured bacterium. RNAcentral's name for it is "bacterial SSU rRNA". It matches the Rfam family "Bacterial small subunit ribosomal RNA", at positions 355 to 776 of the family's 1533-position model. The record is from RNAcentral.
UGGGGAAUUUUGGACAAUGGGCGCAAGCCUGAUCCAGCAAUGCCGCGUGCAGGAUGAAGGCCUUCGGGUUGUAAACUGCUUUUGUACGGAACGAAACGGUGAGCUUUAAUACAGUUUGCUAAUGACGGUACCGUAAGAAUAAGCACCGGCUAACUACGUGCCAGCAGCCGCGGUAAUACGUAGGGUGCGAGCGUUAAUCGGAAUUACUGGGCGUAAAGCGUGCGCAGGCGGUUAUAUAAGACAGAUGUGAAAUCCCCGGGCUCAACCUGGGACCUGCAUUUGUGACUGUAUAGCUAGAGUACGGUAGAGGGGGAUGGAAUUCCGCGUGUAGCAGUGAAAUGCGUAGAUAUGCGGAGGAACACCGAUGGCGAAGGCAAUCCCCUGGACCUGUACUGACGCUCAUGCACGAAAGCGUGGGGAGCAAACAGG